Long non-coding RNA from Chrysemys picta bellii (western painted turtle), 1819 nucleotides. Lineage: Eukaryota; Metazoa; Chordata; Testudines; Emydidae. The record is from Ensembl.
AUGAGGCAGGGGCUUGGGACCUCUGAGCCCCACCUGGGCCGGGUUCUGCACUGCCAUGGCGUGGGCAAGAAUAUCCAUGAGCCUGGCCUAGGUAUCUGGCUCCUCCUGCCUCCCUUUCUCUGCCUCCAUUGCCCAGAGCAUGUCCCCCAUGGAGCAGGGCUCCCCCGAACUGCUGCGUCAGAACAAGGCCUGGACUGGUCUCCCACUCCCCCUGCCCCCCUUCAGCACCCAUCCCCCAUGGGCACAGCUGCCUUCCUCCCCACAAGCUUGCCCCAUUGCCACUGGAGAAUCAUGGGAGUAUGCAAGAGUCACGUCCAUUCACAGGCAAGUCCUCAAGUCACAAGUCCCGUCAAUGCCGUGUCUAAUGGUUGCGCCCUGUUCUACUAGGCCCUACACAAACACAGUGCAGGCAGAGCUAGUGGGGAAAUGGCCGUUAUUUUCUGUGAAACAAGUUCACAAUGUGAUGGAUUUUUUUUGUCAAAAAUUUGUUUCCUUUGGAAUCAAAACAUAAUUUGUUUGCUUGGGGGCUUUUUUGAACUCCUGCCCUCCCCCAAGAAACAGAAAGAAGGGGAGGGGGAAACCCAACAAACACUGACAAGGUGGUGUUUUGGUUUGAAUUAAACUGAAUGAAAGAUAUUUUUUUUUAUUUGAACUGAAGAGUUUUCAUUGGCCAGCGUCAGAGGAUAUCAGUUUUUUGGGUGUAAAUGCGUGGAUUGUUCACUUUUCACUGAGAAAACAUUGUCACAAUAAUCUUCCACCCCGCUGCAAUUCUCUGAGCCUGGCCCUGCCCAAAGCGGUCACAGUGUGACCAGGAAGAGAAACAAAGGGGAUUUGCCCAAGGUCAUUGGCAGGGUUAGGAAGAGAAGCCAGGUCUCUGGAGUAGCAGCCUGCAUGGAAGGUGGAGAGGAGCCCAGGGUGCAGGAGGCCCCCCGAGAGUCAGGCUGCAUGCACAUGGCUGGAAUGCCUGCUGCAGUUGCAGCAACUAGUUCUCUUAAGAAAGAGCCAGUUUGAUUUUAGAAACCGGGAGUCCUCUCCUGUUCUUACCUGGCAUGAGGGACAUGAACCAGGGUCUAGUAAAAUGGCAUUGAGGUGAGUGUCAGUAGCCAUGGGUGCUAUGCCCAGCCACUAGCAAAGUCAUUUGUCCACUCUCUGCCCAAGGUCAGACUAGAUGAGGAUAUUUGAUCCCUUGGGGCUGGACAAUGCCUGACUCUCCCUGCAGGAAUUGCCCCCUGGCUCAAGGGCAAAGGCCUUUCUUUGACAGUGGAUCUGCUGGUUCUCUUCCAAAUGUCUGGUUUUGCAUAUGAAUGAAAUCUGGAUCGCCCAUUAGUUUGUCUGGCUGUUCCUGUGUUUAGCGUGGUUCCUGGUUUUACUGAUUAGCCAGCCGGGGUUGAAACCCAGCCAAGUACACGGUGUGACAUGGAGGAGAGCUUCUAGUUUCUUUGGAAAGCAGGAAGAGAGCAUGAGAAUACCAGUCAAGGGCAGGGUGACACCCAAGACCCAGUCAAGCAAUAUGGCAUUGCCAAAUCACAGCAUGCCCCCAACCAUGCCUCCCCACACCAACGAAGGAGUUUCUGCGAUGCACAUGGAUGGGCCCACAGCCCUCUGUUUCUUUAGAUGGAGCCACGGCAGGGCUGUCUGCGUGGAGGGCUGUGUAGUCAGUGCAUAAGGUGUUGUACUGGGAUUUGGGUGACUUGAGUUCCACCCCAGCUUUGCCAUUGGCCUACUGGCUCACCUUGGGCAAAUCACGUCACUGCUUUGGGCCUCAGUUUCUCCAUCUAUAAAAUUGGGCUAAUAAUAAAGGGCAAGAUUUUUAAAGGCA